AUUCCCCUAGUAGCGGCGAGCGAAGCGGGAAGAGCUCAAAUUUGUAAUCUGGCGUCCUUCGGGCGUCCGAGUUGUAAUCUAUAGAGACGUUUUCCGUGCCGGACCGUGUCCAAGUCCCUUGGAACAGGGUAUCAAAGAGGGUGACAAUCCCGUACUUGACACGACGACCGGUGCUCUGUGAUACGUUUUCUACGAGUCGAGUUGUUUGGGAAUGCAGCUCAAAAUGGGUGGUAAAUUCCAUCUAAAGCUAAAUAUAGGCGAGAGACCGAUAGCGAACAAGUACCGUGAGGGAAAGAUGAAAAGCACUUUGGAAAGAGAGUUAAACAGUAUGUGAAAUUGUUGAAAGGGAAACGAUUGAAGUCAGUCAUGUCCAUUGGAUUCAGCUGGUUCUGCCAGUGUAUUUCCUUUGGACGGGUCAACAUCAGUUUGAGCCGGCGGAUAAUGGCAGAGGGAAGGUAGCACCCCCGGGUGUGUUAUAGCCCUUUGUCGCAUACGCCGGCCCAGACUGAGGAAUGCAGCUCGCCUUUAUGGCCGGGGUUCGCCCACGUACGAGCUUAGGAUGUUGGCAUAAUGGCUUUAAACGACCCGUCUUGAAACACGGA
This 602-nucleotide ribosomal RNA is filed under the name Saitozyma flava. RNAcentral describes it as "partial large subunit ribosomal RNA". It matches the Rfam family "Eukaryotic large subunit ribosomal RNA", at positions 74 to 665 of the family's 3401-position model. Lineage: Eukaryota; Fungi; Basidiomycota; Tremellomycetes; Tremellales; Trimorphomycetaceae. The record is from RNAcentral.